AUCGGCGGAGAAGCCAUAUCGGGAACUGAUAAUGGGCUUGGGCUUGGGCCCAUAGGAGUAGUUGGUUGGGCCAUUGGGCUUGAAGAUGGAGUCAUUGGCAUCAUAGGUGGUGGAGUCAUGGGCAUUGGUGGUGGAGCCAUGGGCAUAGGUGGUGGAGUCAUAGGCAUAGGUGGUGGAGCCAUAGGCAUAGGUGGUGGAGUCAUCAUUGGCAUCGGAGAGCUGCGGCCGCUAGACAUCGGCGGCAUCGACAUUGAGCCAGAAGGAGCCAUCAUGGGAGAUUGAGCUAAAGAGAAAUGAAUUAAAACCAUAGGCAAUGUGACCAAAAGGAGGGCUUGUGAAGAGGCCAUGGUUAUGUGUGUUGAAUAGUGGGUGUUAUGUAAAGUGAUAUAUAGAGAGAGGUAUGUGAGUUGUAAAAGAAUGGGAGAGAAAAGUGAAGGUUCUUUGUGCUAUUGGGGAUAUAUAUUAGAGAUUAUUUGUUUUUAUUUUUGGACCGUUGGAUAUAGUGUGUGACACGUAUCAGUCGAUAGAUAGGUAUGAGAUGCUGAUUUAUUUUCCUCCACAUGUUGAAAAAAAAAAAGAGAUAGAAGA
RNAcentral lists this long non-coding RNA (588 nucleotides) under Eutrema salsugineum. RNAcentral's name for it is "long non-coding RNA (ESAL_LNC002135)". Lineage: Eukaryota; Viridiplantae; Streptophyta; Magnoliopsida; Brassicales; Brassicaceae. The record is from RNAcentral.